This 384-nucleotide long non-coding RNA is filed under the name Mus spicilegus (steppe mouse). Its description in RNAcentral is "lncRNA (ENSMSIG00000000082.1)". Lineage: Eukaryota; Metazoa; Chordata; Mammalia; Rodentia; Muridae. The record is from RNAcentral.
GGGGAAGCCAACUCACAUGGAGCGAUCUGCCUGAGUUGAUCAUGUCGUGUUGGGAUCCUGGAACUUGGUGCCACUGCAUGUGUCUCAGAACCUUGUGUCUUCGUUUGGGUCCAUUCUGCCUUGAUAAUGGGUUGCUCAGUAAACAUUGAAGCCUAUGUUACAGAAGAAAAAAGGAAAAAUGAAGAAUGGAAGGAAGGGAGGGGGAUAAGCCAGGAAAGGAUAUAUAAAGAUAUAGAGGUGGGCAAAGGAGAACAUGGUUCUAAUCCCCAGCAUUAGAGAGGUGAAAGCCAAAGGAUCAAAAGUUAAAGGUAGGUAAUCACUACAUAGUAUGUUUGAGGCCAUCUUUUGCUCCAUGAGACCCUAUUUCUUCAGGACUUAAUAAGG